This 253-nucleotide ribosomal RNA is filed under the name uncultured bacterium. RNAcentral describes it as "partial 16S ribosomal RNA". It matches the Rfam family "Bacterial small subunit ribosomal RNA", at positions 524 to 776 of the family's 1533-position model. The record is from RNAcentral.
UACGUAGGGUGCAAGCGUUAAUCGGAAUUACUGAGCGUAAAGCGUGCGCAGGCGGUUUUGUAAGACAGAGGUGAAAUCCCCGGGCUCAACCUGGGAACUGCCUUUGUGACUGCAAGGCUUGAGUGCGGCAGAGGGGGAUGGAAUUCCGCGUGUAGCAGUGAAAUGCGUAGAUAUGCGGAGGAACACCGAUGGCGAAGGCAAUCCCCUGGGCCUGCACUGACGCUCAUGCACGAAAGCGUGGGGAGCAAACAGG